Molecule: small nucleolar RNA, 163 nt
Organism: Mustela putorius furo (domestic ferret)
Lineage: Eukaryota; Metazoa; Chordata; Mammalia; Carnivora; Mustelidae
Gene: SNORA73
Rfam family: Small nucleolar RNA SNORA73 family
About the family: U17 (SNORA73A and SNORA73B) also known as E1 belongs to the H/ACA class of small nucleolar RNAs (snoRNAs). Vertebrate U17 is intron-encoded and ranges in length from 200-230 nucleotides, longer than most snoRNAs.
Source: Ensembl
CCAAUGUGGAUGCUCGUGGGUCCAGGAGCCCUAGGAGAGUGUAGGGCUCUGCCCUGUGAUGUACAGGCCUUUGGCACAACGGUGGAGAUGAAGGUGGGCCUGGAGUCUGCACCUGCGUAUUGCUAUGGAUGACAGCUGAGGAGAAAUAAUGCAGACAACAUCU